RNAcentral lists this small RNA (134 nucleotides) under Salmonella enterica. RNAcentral describes it as "RtT sRNA". It matches the Rfam family "RtT RNA". Rfam says of the family: This family represents a bacterial cis-regulatory element known as RtT RNA. Lineage: Bacteria; Pseudomonadati; Pseudomonadota; Gammaproteobacteria; Enterobacterales; Enterobacteriaceae. The record is from RNAcentral. RNAcentral also lists the same sequence under 2 other names.
UGUAUCUGAAGUCUGACGAGGAUGAGAACCUCCGGGGGCAAGAGGUUCGAAUCGAGCGAAGCGAGAGAACGUUGCGUCAGCAACGGCCCGCAGGGCGAGCCACGCAGUGGCGAGUCAUCCUCUAUCACCGACCA